Molecule: ribosomal RNA, 449 nt
Filed under: uncultured bacterium
Lineage: Bacteria
Description: SSU rRNA
Rfam family: Bacterial small subunit ribosomal RNA
Source: RNAcentral
AGAGCGAACGCUGGCGGCAGGCCUAGCACAUGCAAGUCGAGCGCCCGUAGCAAUACGGGAGCGGCAGACGGGAUAGUAACACGUGGGAACGCGCCCUUCGGUUCGGAAUAACUCAGGGAAACUUGAGCUAAUACCGAAUACGCCCUUACGGGGAAAGAUUUAUUGCCGAAGGAACGGCCCGCGUCCGAUUAGCUAGUUGGUGAGGUAAUGGCUCACCAAGGCUACGAUCGGUAGCUGGUCUGAGAGGAUGACCAGCAUCACUGGGACUGAGACACGGCCCAGACUCCUACGGGAGGCAGCAGUGGGGAAUAUUGGACAAUGGGCGCAAGCCUGAUCCAGCCAUGCCGCGUGGAUGAUGAAGGCCUUAGGGUUGUAAAGUCCUUUUAAACGGGGAAGAUAAUGACGGUACCCGUAGAAUAAGCCCCGGCUAACUUCGUGCCAGCAGCCGC